RNAcentral lists this ribosomal RNA (492 nucleotides) under uncultured bacterium. RNAcentral's name for it is "partial 16S ribosomal RNA". It matches the Rfam family "Bacterial small subunit ribosomal RNA", at positions 29 to 507 of the family's 1533-position model. The record is from RNAcentral.
AGUGAACGCUGGCGGUAGGCCUAACACAUGCAAGUCGAACGGCAGCACAGUAAGAGCUUGCUCUUACGGGUGGCGAGUGGCGGACGAGUGAGGAAUACAUCGGAAUCUACUUUUUCGUGGGGGAUAACGUAGGGAAACUUACGCUAAUACCGCAUACGACCUACGGGUGAAAGCAGGGGAUCUUCGGACCUUGCGCGAUUGAAUGAGCCGAUGUCGGAUUAGCUAGUUGGCGGGGUAAAGGCCCACCAAGGCGACGAUCCGUAGCUGGUCUGAGAGGAUGAUCAGCCACACUGGAACUGAGACACGGUCCAGACUCCUACGGGAGGCAGCAGUGGGGAAUAUUGGACAAUGGGCGAAAGCCUGAUCCAGCCAUACCGCGUGGGUGAAGAAGGCCUUCGGGUUGUAAAGCCCUUUUGUUGGGAAAGAAAAGCAGCAGGUUAAUACCCCACUGUUCUGACGGUACCCAAAGAAUAAGCACCGGCUAACUUCGUG